CCUCCCUCAAGCGUCGGCUUGGUGUUGGGUUCCGCCGCCCCGCGGCUAGCCCUAAGGACAGUGGCGGUGCCGCCUGGCCCUCAGCGUAGUACAGUGCUCGCUCGAGGGCCCGUCGGGUGCCUGCCAGACCUCAACCCCUCU
RNAcentral lists this unclassified non-coding RNA (141 nucleotides) under uncultured Leotiomycetes. Its description in RNAcentral is "sequence contains ITS2". Lineage: Eukaryota; Fungi; Ascomycota; Leotiomycetes. The record is from RNAcentral.